This 292-nucleotide ribosomal RNA is filed under the name uncultured bacterium. Its description in RNAcentral is "partial 16S ribosomal RNA". It matches the Rfam family "Bacterial small subunit ribosomal RNA", at positions 505 to 796 of the family's 1533-position model. The record is from RNAcentral.
GUGCCAGCCGCCGCGGUAAUACAGAGGGUGCAAGCGUUAUCCGGAUUUACUGGGUUUAAAGGGUGCGCAGGCGGGGCUUUAAGUCAGUGGUGAAAUCUCUUCGCUUAACGAAGAAACUGCCAUUGAUACUGAAGUUCUUGAAUCUAGUUGACGUUAGUGGAAUGUGUCAUGUAGCGGUGAAAUGCUUAGAUAUGACACAGAACACCGAUCGCGAAGGCAGCUAACGAAGCUAGUAUUGACGCUCAGGCACGACAGCAUGGGGAGCAAACAGGAUUAGAUACCCCGGUAGUCC